AGAGCGAACGCUGGCGGCAGGCCUAACACAUGCAAGUCGAACGGAUCCUUCGGGAUUAGUGGCGGACGGGUGAGGAACACGUGGGAACGUGCCUUUUGGUUCGGAACAACUCAGGGAAACUUGAGCUAAUACCGGAUGUGCCCUUCGGGGGAAAGAUUUAUCGCCAUUAGAGCGGCCCGCGUCUGAUUAGCUUGUUGGUGAGGUAAAGGCUCACCAAGGCUACGAUCAGUAGCUGGUCUGAGAGGAUGAUCAGCCACACUGGGACUGAGACACGGCCCAGACUCCUACGGGAGGCAGCAGUGGGGAAUCUUGCGCAAUGGGCGAAAGCCUGACGCAGCCAUGCCGCGUGAAUGAUGAAGGUCUUAGGAUUGUAAAAUUCUUUCGACCGGGACGAUAAUGACGGUACCGAGAAGAAGCCCGCUAACUUCGUGCCAGCACGCCGC
This 443-nucleotide ribosomal RNA is filed under the name uncultured soil bacterium. RNAcentral describes it as "bacterial SSU rRNA". It matches the Rfam family "Bacterial small subunit ribosomal RNA", at positions 26 to 518 of the family's 1533-position model. The record is from RNAcentral.